Molecule: small nuclear RNA, 104 nt
Organism: Phodopus roborovskii (desert hamster)
Lineage: Eukaryota; Metazoa; Chordata; Mammalia; Rodentia; Cricetidae
Source: RefSeq, a predicted model, not a curated record
AUGCUUGAUUUGGCAGCACAUAUACUAAAAUUGUACCGAUACGGAGAUUAGCUUGGCCCCUGUACAAGGAUGACAAGCAAAUUUGUGAAGUGUUCCAUGUGUUA